This 461-nucleotide ribosomal RNA is filed under the name uncultured bacterium. Its description in RNAcentral is "partial 16S ribosomal RNA". It matches the Rfam family "Bacterial small subunit ribosomal RNA", at positions 338 to 795 of the family's 1533-position model. The record is from RNAcentral.
CCUACGGGCGGCAGCAGUGAGGAAUAUUGGUCAAUGGGCUUACGCCUGAACCAGCCAAGUCGCGUGAGGGAAGACUGCCCUAUGGGUUGUAAACCUCUUUUGUCAAGGAGCAACGCCGGCUACGUGUAGCCGGACUGAGAGUACCUGAAGAAAAAGCAUCGGCUAACUCCGUGCCAGCAGCCGCGGUAAUACGGAGGAUGCGAGCGUUAUCCGGAUUUAUUGGGUUUAAAGGGUGCGUAGGCGGAAUGCCAAGUCAGCGGUAAAAUCGCGGGGCUCAACCUCGGGACUGCCCUUGGAACUGCAUGGCUGGAGUGCGGGAGGGGCAGGCGGAAUUCCUGGUGUAGCGGUGAAAUGCGUAGAUAUCAGGAGGAACACCGGCGGCGAAGGCGGCCUGCUGGACUGCGACUGACGUUGAGGCUCGAAAGCGUGGGGAGCGAACAGGAUUAGAUACCCGUGUAGUC